UGCAAGAUAUUUAGUUUGGUUUGGCGCCAUCUCGUUUAUUUUGUCUACGAUGGUGACUUCUGUAUUUCGAAUGACAGGAUUGGGCGUCGUACGUGAAAGAGCUCUUCACUUGGUUUUUACAUGAAUCCUUUGGCGGGUUAUUCGUGUCUUCAAACUUUUGACACAGUCGAGAUCUGCCAUAUGUGGUGAGAUCUAGUGUCUCCUAGACUGCUUUCUCAUUGUGUUAAGUAAACUUUUCCGAGCAUAAGUGUCACCUGCUGCAAUGAGACAUUUUUCUGCUGAGGGACAUCUCAAGGACACUGGUAAAUGAGUUGGCAACACUUCAGCUGCUCAUUCCUUGCCAAGGCUGCCAUGUGGGUCAGAUGUCACAGUAAGCUGACAGCUAAGCCAGUCAUUUGCUAGCAAGAUGCAGAUGUAAACAUUCCAUCAGAAGUGGAUGGGGGCACUUCCCUCAUCUUAAGAACAUGCCCACAUCUGGGGUCGCGGAGUGGCAAAACACAACAGCAAACCUUUAUAAUUUCAUCUACCAAUGGAACAACGAGUCUACAUAGCAUAAUAUAAAUGCAUAUCGUCAAAAUUCUCCAGCUCUACACAUACAACCAGCAAUCUUCAAGACAUCUAAUGAGGACAAGAAGUGUACAUAAUGAAAGCUAUGAAAUAUACCAGUUCAUGCAAAACCUAAGUCAUUCUACCAUAAAUCCAAUGUAAUCUAAUUGACUACAUUCCGAUUUGUAUAACUAAUUUACUGUUUUAUUUACUUAUUUAUGUGUGUAUGUAAAUAAAAAUUUUUAAUGAACAAC
Molecule: long non-coding RNA, 800 nt
Organism: Schistocerca gregaria
Lineage: Eukaryota; Metazoa; Arthropoda; Insecta; Orthoptera; Acrididae
Exons: 3
Source: RefSeq, a predicted model, not a curated record